Molecule: ribosomal RNA, 430 nt
Filed under: Brucella melitensis
Lineage: Bacteria; Pseudomonadati; Pseudomonadota; Alphaproteobacteria; Hyphomicrobiales; Brucellaceae
Also listed under: 1 other name
Description: partial 16S ribosomal RNA
Rfam family: Bacterial small subunit ribosomal RNA
Source: RNAcentral
UGGGGAAUAUUGGACAAUGGGCGCAAGCCUGAUCCAGCCAUGCCGCGUGUGUGAAGAAGGCCUUUUGGUUGUAAAGCACUUUAAGCGAGGAGGAGGCUACCGAGAUUAAUACUCUUGGAUAGUGGACGUUACUCGCAGAAUAAGCACCGGCUAACUCUGUGCCAGCAGCCGCGGUAAUACAGAGGGUGCGAGCGUUAAUCGGAUUUACUGGGCGUAAAGCGUGCGUAGGCGGCUUCUUAAGUCGGAUGUGAAAUCCCUGAGCUUAACUUAGGAAUUGCAUUCGAUACUGGGAAGCUAGAGUAUGGGAGAGGAUGGUAGAAUUCCAGGUGUAGCGGUGAAAUGCGUAGAGAUCUGGAGGAAUACCGAUGGCGAAGGCAGCCAUCUGGCCUAAUACUGACGCUGAGGUACGAAAGCAUGGGGAGCAAACAGG